CCUACGGGAGGCAGCAGUGGGGAAUAUUGCACAAUGGGGGGAACCCUGAUGCAGCGACGCCGCGUGGGUGAAGAAGUAUUUCGGUAUGUAAAGCCCUAUCAGCAGGGAAGAAAAAUGAAGGUACCUGACCAAGAAGCAUCGGCUAAAUACGUGCAAGCAGCCGCGGUAAUACGCAUGGUGCAAGCGUUAUCCGGAUUUACUGGGUGUAAAGGGAGCGCAGGCGGUACGCUGAGCCUGAUGUGAAAACCCGGGGCCCAACCGCGGGAGUGCAUUGGGUACUGGCCGGCUAGAGUACUGGAGGGGCAGGCGGAAUUCCAAGUGUAGCGGUGAAAUGCGUAGAUAUUAGGAGGAACACCGGUGGCGAAGGCGGCCUGCUGGACGAAGACUGACGCUGAGGCUCGAAAGCGUGGGGAGCAAACAGGAUUAGAUACCCGGGUAGUC
RNAcentral lists this ribosomal RNA (441 nucleotides) under uncultured bacterium. Its description in RNAcentral is "partial 16S ribosomal RNA". It matches the Rfam family "Bacterial small subunit ribosomal RNA", at positions 338 to 795 of the family's 1533-position model. The record is from RNAcentral.